Molecule: ribosomal RNA, 253 nt
Filed under: uncultured bacterium
Lineage: Bacteria
Description: partial 16S ribosomal RNA
Rfam family: Bacterial small subunit ribosomal RNA
Source: RNAcentral
UACGUAGGGGGCUAGCGUUGUCCGGAAUCAUCGGGCGUAAAGAGCGUGUAGGCGGCCCGGUAAGUCCGCUGUGAAAGUCGGGGGCUCAACCCUCGAAUGCCGGUGGAUACUGUCGGGCUAGAGUGCGGAAGAGGCGAGUGGAAUUCCUGGUGUAGCGGUGAAAUGCGCAGAUAUCAGGAGGAACACCAAUUGCGAAGGCAGCUCGCUGGGACGUAACUGACGCUGAGACGCGAAAGCUAGGGGAGCAAACGGG